This 71-nucleotide transfer RNA is filed under the name Chromochloris zofingiensis. RNAcentral describes it as "tRNA-Val". It matches the Rfam family "tRNA". From Rfam's summary of the family: Transfer RNA (tRNA) molecules are approximately 80 nucleotides in length. Their secondary structure includes four short double-helical elements and three loops (D, anti-codon, and T loops). The record is from RNAcentral. Lineage: Eukaryota; Viridiplantae; Chlorophyta; Chlorophyceae; Sphaeropleales; Chromochloridaceae.
GAGUAAAUAGCUCAAAGGUAGAGCAUCUGUCUUACAAACAGGGGGUUGUGGGUUCAAGUCCUACUUUACUC